GUGUCAGCCGCCGCGGUAAGACGAACUGUCCUAACGUUGUUCGGAAUCACUGGGCUUAAAGGGCGCGUAGGCGGUCCGCCAAGUCAGGGGUGAAAUCCUGCAGCUUAACUGUAGAAGUGCCUCUGAUACUGGCGGUCUUGAGGGAAAUAGGGGUGUGCGGAACUUCCAGUGGAGCGGUGAAAUGCGUUGAUAUUGGAAGGAACGCCGGAGGCGAAAGCGGCGCACUGGAUUUCUUCUGACGCUGAGGCGCGAAAGCUAGGGGAGCAAACGGGAUUAGAUACCCUGGUAGUCC
Molecule: ribosomal RNA, 292 nt
Filed under: uncultured bacterium
Lineage: Bacteria
Description: partial 16S ribosomal RNA
Rfam family: Bacterial small subunit ribosomal RNA
Source: RNAcentral